AGAGAUAGGUAGUUGUUAAGGUAAUGGCUUAACUAGCCCAAAAUUCUCUUAGUCGAAACUGAAAUGGUUGAUCGACCACAUUGGGGCUGAAAAAAACCCAAUACAAGUGAGUACAGCAGUGGGGAAUAUUGGUCAAUGGCCUAACGGCUGAACUGGCAACUUGGAGGAAUGGCCUAUCUUAUUAAGUAAAUAGUAAGAAUUAGAGUGAAAUGAUGGUUAAAUCGAUUAUCGAAUAAAAUUCUAAAUAUAUAAAUUAUAAUGACUAUAUAUAUUUAUGUCUUGACUAAUUACGUGCCAGCAGUCGCGGUAAUACGUAAGAGACUAGUGUUACUCAUUUUUAAUAGGUUUAAAGGGUACCCAGACGGAAGAAAUUUGCCUGGAAAGGAACAAUUUCUAUCUAGAGUUUAAUAUAAGAAGGUCGUACUUGUGGAAUAGAGAUGAAAUACUUUUAUACCUAAUAAGGGACUGGUAAAGGCGAAAGCAACCUUUUAUGUAAAAACUGACGUUGAAGGACGAAGGCUUAGAACACGAAUAGGAUUAGAUACCCUAGUAGUCUUAGCAGAAAAUGAUGAAUGUCAUAGGUUAGGUUAUACUUAGUCUAUAAAUGAAAAUGUAAGCAUUUCACCUCAAGAGUAACGUGGCAACACGGAAACUGAAAUCACUAGACCGUUUCUGACAUCAGUAGUGAAGUAUGUUAUUUAAUUCGAUGAUCCACGAAAAACCUUACCACAAUUAGAAUUGUAUUUAUGUUAUUUAUAUUAUAAAUAUAACGAGUGUUGCACGGCUGUUUCCAGUUAAUGUUGUGAAACUAUGGCUUCGGCCAUGAAAUUAACGAAAACCCUUGCUUUAUUUAUAAAUAUUUUUUAAUAAAGCUGCUUUUAUCAUCAUACCGAUAAAAUAGUAGGGCCAAAGACAAGUCAUCAUGGCCUUUAUAUUGUGGGCUAUAGACGUGCCACAUAUUCCUAGACAAAGAGAUGCGAAAAUGCGAAUUUAAGCUAAUCUCAAAAAAUAGGAUAAAAUAGGAUAAGGAUUGUAGUCUGAAACUCGACUACAUGAAUAAGUAAUUACUAGUAAUCGUGAAUCACCAUGUCACGGUGAAUAAUAUCUCGGAUUGGUACUAACCACUCG
RNAcentral lists this ribosomal RNA (1128 nucleotides) under Leptographium truncatum. RNAcentral describes it as "SSU rRNA". It matches the Rfam family "Bacterial small subunit ribosomal RNA", at positions 237 to 1396 of the family's 1533-position model. Lineage: Eukaryota; Fungi; Ascomycota; Sordariomycetes; Ophiostomatales; Ophiostomataceae. The record is from RNAcentral.